AAGGAUUCCCUCAGUACGGGCGACGGAAGCGGGAAAAGCCCACAUUGGUAAUCUCCGGGCGCUAGCUCGGCGAAUUGUAAUCUGAAGAUCGUUAGUCUAAUUGGGCCCGACGCCGAAGUGCGCGCGAGCGCGCCGCCAAAGAGGGUGAGAGCCCCGUCAGGCGCUGGGCCCUACAAGGGCUGGCAAUCGAAGAGUCGUGUACUUUGAUACUAGUGCACCAAGCGGGAGAUAAACUUCUUCUAAGGCUAAAUAUAAGUAGGAAACCGAUAGCGAACAAGUACUGUGAAGGAAAGAUGAAAAGCACUUUGGAAAGAAAGUUAAAAGACUUGAAAUCGUUGAGGCGGACCCGGUAGAAAUGUAUUCUAGCGAAGCGCUCGGGGAAGCCUGUAUUCGGGCCACUUGAGCGCCAGCCGAGACAAGAUGGAGUCGCAUCAUGCCAGAGGCGGCGCGCUUUGUAGCUUGCUAUAGAGCGCGCUGGCCGGGCGUGGCGCGGCUUGAGGGGCCUUGUGCGAUCUUGUCAAAAUGGUUUUUACCGACUCGUCUUGAAACACGAACCAAGGAGUCUAAGACUAACGCGAGUGUGGUGGUGGAGAAACCAACACGCGAAAUGAAAGUAAAUGAUGCCAAGCACCCUGCAGCAUCGACCGACUUUUUUCUCUUGGAAGAGGUUUGAGUAAGAGCGUUAUUCUUAGGACCCGAAAGAUGGUGAAACUAU
Molecule: ribosomal RNA, 715 nt
Filed under: Tintinnopsis uruguayensis
Lineage: Eukaryota; Ciliophora; Spirotrichea; Tintinnida; Codonellidae
Description: LSU rRNA
Rfam family: Eukaryotic large subunit ribosomal RNA
Source: RNAcentral